This 3318-nucleotide long non-coding RNA is filed under the name Schistocerca americana (American grasshopper). RNAcentral describes it as "uncharacterized LOC124612236, transcript variant X2". Lineage: Eukaryota; Metazoa; Arthropoda; Insecta; Orthoptera; Acrididae. The record is from RNAcentral.
AGAGCACUCUUAUUGUGAAUUUCUCAUUCAGCUUCUCAACAAAACUAUCACUGAGAACAGAAAGCUGCCUAUUCCGUACUCCUUCAUUUACAAUGGUUCCUCUAUCAUUGAACUGUCUCGCCCACUUUCUCACCAUUCCAUCAGUCAUUACAUUUUCACCAUAAAUCUCUAAGUUGAUUAUUUCAGCGGGCAUUCUUUGCAUUCAAAAAUCUUAUAACAAUACAAUUCAGUCGUCAGGCUCACAGAUUGUCAAACAUUUUGAAUGAUUGCUAACAAAUGUUAAGCAUGACACACUAGCUGUAAUGGCACCAGUGGAAAGUCAGUGAACCAGAGAGAGACGAGUAUGAAUGUGCAGAACUGCAAUGCUAGUCUUGUGGUAGCAGUAGAAUGAAACAGUAUUUACUUUCUAGACAGGUGUCUUACAAUAAAUCUGAAGUACAUAUUCCAUAGUAACAACUUAUUUUUUAACUUACACAUUCUGUAGUUCACAAGAUUUUGGAUGGAACCUGGAUUAAAAAUAGUGGAUACACGAGACUGCUACACCAAGUACAGCAAAUGAAUUUUCCGCACUGGCAGCCCUACAUCAAAUGAAUAAACCUAUAUAUACUAAUUACUGGAUUCAAAAAAUUAUAUUUUUACAUGACCAGGUUCCUCAUAUCCAUAGCACACAUCCACCACUGACCCAAAUUACCUGCUCACCAUGAGGUUGGCAGCAUUAGGACUCGGGCAACACGCCAGAUACUCUCCACUGAUUUUCUCAAAAACUACAUUACUGAGGCAAAACCCAAAGCAGGUGUGUUAUCUUUUCUCUCAAUGACUAACAUUAGUGCACAAUUUCACAAGAUUCUGUGACUAUGUGGUGGUCUCUCCAAGUGAGAUUUCUGAGGACAUUCUGUACAAAAGGCUUCAGCAGGAGAUACCUGCUGGCCAUUACAGAGGGGGAAAAAGGAGAAGCUGGGACAGUGUUCCUGAGAGAGAACUUAACUAAUGAACAUGGGUUGAAACACAUUCAGGAACUCAUGCUCAGCUCAAAAGUGAUGCAGGAUUUUAUGUCCUCCAUUUCUUGGCACACAGGUGGCUGCAUACAGGAGUGAAACAAUGACGGGAUCAAGCUGAGAUUUUUCAGGUGUGUCUGGUUGGAGAUAGUACAGAAUGACUCUGCUGUUGCACUAAGGACAUCAGUAUAGUGGUGGUACAGAAAUGAGACUGAACUGACUUACUAGUUUAUUUUUAUUGCUUCUUCACGUGUUUGCUAUGAAUAUGCAGAUCACAGGCCCUGGUUUAUAUCUUCAGUAAGUACACGAAGUAAUUUUGGAACUACAGGUCGAAACCAUCAAAGUGUCAGCAUCUAUAUUGCUCUAAUCAAACACUUAGGUUAAAGUACUUUUCACUGUGAAGUUGAAUAUAGACAUAGUUACACGCAGACAAUUAUAUGAUGGAAGGCAAUAACACCAAACCAGAUGCACACACAGGCAAACUUUGUCUAUCUUUCUUAGUGUACAAGCUUAACUGAAGAUAAUGCUCACUUUUAUAUGAUUUGCUGUCAGCUCUUGGUCAUCCGAGGUAACUUUGUUUGGAACACUGGUGCUGACUGCAACACUCAAACUCUGCCUUGCUUGGCAUGGCACAUGAUUGGGUCACUUUUUACUUCCAAUUCACAAUCAGUGAGUGUGAAAUCAGCGGUUUCUCAAUGUGGGUGACCUCUUAAUGGACUGAUGAAAGCAGCUUGUGUUGUAUGACUACCUGAGUUAGAAGGCUUACAGGUAAUAUUCAUACUUACACAAAUUCUCUUUUUUUCUGGCAACCCUUUACGAUUUGGUCAUUAAAACUGUGACAAGCAGUGCAGCCAAAGGUGAGGACACUUAAGGGUUCCAAGCUACCACAUGCCCGCAGGUGGGACCAGUGGCAUAACUGCUACUUUCAUUUCACCCCCUCCUUCACACUUACAAACACCUUCCCACCUUUCUGUAAACCCAUUUCUGUCUUGAGCAUUUUCACAUAGUGACCUGGGAAAUUUUUUCCUUUGGUGUCCUAGGCCCUACAAUGAAUAAAAUUGUAAAUUUUCUACUCAGUUUGUAUAAAAGUAAAAGCCAUGAACAAAAGGUUGAUUUAGACAAGUUUAUUAGACAUGAACAGUGAUAGAAUUUUCUCACUUAACCAGAGUCCAAACAAGGACGCAACCUUAAUUUAACAGAUACUGAACCGACAAGCUUCACACUGCAUUUGUCCAUGCAAAAUAUUGCAGUAGACCUUUUAUAAGUUUCUUACUAAACCUCUCAAAGUAAUCCUCUACAUUCCUUACAUAAAAUUGUGGCAUAUUUCCAUGUGCGUUAGUGUUCUGCCCUAGUAAUCUCAAGUGUAGUGGUAUGUUAAAUUAACCUUCACUCUAUUAGUGCACUCAUAUCAAGUAAUUUAAAUUUCUACAGUAGAAUCAUCAAUCUGCCUAGUUCUUAACUAUGCCAUCACUAGUGUGUUCCAAUGCAGUUUUAGUUGCCAUCCAAUUAUGCACAAUAUAUUUUUCUUAUUAAUACUUGGAAAGUUGCAGUGGAACCAGUGAUCUCCAUACUAACUGGAUGUACAUCUUCUGUCUUUGACCAUAGCACUUAUCCGUGCCGUCCCAGGAGUGUUUGUUUAUAUCAUCCGCCAUCUUCUAGUUAGGCAAAAAGUUUCUCUUGGUGUUAACGAAGUGUAUGUUGUGAGUGUAAAACGGUUAUUUCGCGAACCGGUGGAACAAGGAAAGUAAUUUAACUUUCCACAGGUUUCCUCUGCAAAAGGUUUCACGCCUACAAGGGCUAGUUUCUUGUGUGGAGAUCACUUCUUGGAAGAAGAUUAUUUAGUAAGACCUGGUCUUCGAGAAGGCAUCUCAAGCCUGAUGCAGUGCCAUCACAGUUUGUGUUUCCGACGCAUUUAAUGCCCAAGGAAAAGCAACCAAGGUGACACAUUAGAAUAACAACUGAACAGCCUACUGCAGAAACUCAUUAUUAUAUUGAACAGAGUUGUGAAACAUCUAAGGAACAUGGAUCUCAAACACAAAUAGAAAUGAUUGACAAGGCCACUGACAUGCAGUUUUUUUACCAGAUGUUGUGGAGACACUGAGAAGAAAGAGCCUGCAGGAAAAAAUUAGAAGAGAGAAGAAAAACUAUUCAAUGAAAGACAUCGUAAGUGCUCUGAAAGAGAAGGGUCAUCUAACAGAGAAGCUGCAUGAAUUCCUGAAUCAACUAACAGGGACUCAGGUGGAAUUAGUGUGCAAUUUGUUGAAUAAUAGUGUGUCAUCCAAGGGAAACAGGUACAAAACAGACAUUAAAAUGUUUUCAAUGA